AUGUGCAACGGGGACGACGGCGGCUAUUUUCUUGCGGAACUCGUCUGGGUCAGGCCAGAACUCUCCCAAGCAGCGAUCUGGCUGUGGAAGUCGUCCGCCCCAGAAUCAGGAUGGGCCUUUCAGCCCACGCGCCUGCACCUUCCGUCGGCCUUCUGCUCUCACUUGUGUUUCUCUUAUCGGGGAUCAACCCUCUGCUGGGUGGACCUGCUCGGUGGCAUGGUGGUGUGUGAUCUGGGCAAAGAGUGCAGCAGCAACUUGGACGGCCCGGAUCUCCGUUUCGUCGCGUUGCCCGCAGAUUGUCCGUCCUAUGAUACCAGCAGCCCCUGUAAUCGGUACCACCUCUGCCCCGAGAAGUUCCGUUCCAUGGCAUGCGUUGGCGACACCAUCAAGCUCGUCUGCAUGGACGGCAAUGUUGAACAAGUGCCGGGCAAAGGCUUUGAUCUCACCGUCUAUGCUCUCUCGCCUGACCUGUCAGACUGGAAAAUAAGCAGCAAGUACAAUGUUGAAAACAUAUGGGCAAACGAGUCCUACCAUUCUACUGGCAUGCCAAAGAUUGCUCCAUCGUUCCCUGUCCUGAGCACCCAUGAAGACGGCGUCAUCUACCUAGUCUUCACCGAACUGAUCAGGGUGGCAAAUGAUACGCUACAGCGCCCGGGCAGGUCCAAACUAUGCCAGUAUUUGGUUCGUGUCGACAUGGAGAGCAACAAGGUCCAGUUCUAUCCACAGAUUAAAAAGUGUACUAUUGAUCCCCAUAUCUUGGGCAGUGAGUUCAGUGCGUACCAAAAGCUAGUGUUUACAUGA
RNAcentral lists this ribosomal RNA (801 nucleotides) under Triticum aestivum (bread wheat). RNAcentral's name for it is "partial small subunit ribosomal RNA". Lineage: Eukaryota; Viridiplantae; Streptophyta; Magnoliopsida; Poales; Poaceae. The record is from RNAcentral.